AUUCAAAGAUACAAGAAAAUCCAAAUCAGGAGGUGAAUCUCAUUUUAAAAGAUUAACAGUAGAUGAAAUAAAUAGAAAUGCAGAAGAAUUAAUAUCUGAGGAGGAGAAAGAAAAAAGAAGAUUAGAGAAAAGAAAAGCAAAGAAAAAG
This is a long non-coding RNA of Saccostrea cuccullata (small rock oyster), 148 nucleotides long. RefSeq lists it as uncharacterized. NCBI's taxonomy places the organism in Eukaryota, Metazoa, Mollusca, Bivalvia, Ostreida, Ostreidae. The record is from RefSeq and is a predicted model, not a curated record. The transcript has 3 exons.